RNAcentral lists this ribosomal RNA (330 nucleotides) under uncultured bacterium. RNAcentral describes it as "bacterial SSU rRNA". It matches the Rfam family "Bacterial small subunit ribosomal RNA", at positions 568 to 898 of the family's 1533-position model. The record is from RNAcentral.
CGUGUAGGCGGCUCAUCAAGUCUGGUGUGAAAUCGCAGGGCUUAACCCUGCGUAGGCGCUGGAAACUGGUGGGCUGGAGUUCCUGAGGGGAAGCUGGAAUUCCAGGUGUAGGGGUGAAAUCUGUAGAUAUCUGGAAGAACACCGGUGGCGAAGGCGAGCUUCUAUCAGAGGACUGACGCUGAGGCGCGAAAGCGUGGGGAGCAAACAGGAUUAGAUACCCUGGUAGUCCACGCUGUAAACGAUGUGCACUAGGCGUGGGGCACGUACGUGUUCUGUGCCGUAGUUAACGUGAUAAGUGCACCGCCUGGGGAGUAUGCUCGCAAGGGUGAA